GUUCCGUCUAAUCUGAUUUUUUGUGACCGUUGAUUAAAUCAAGUGAUAACUACUAUUUAACUGUUAUCCCUCCAUGUAUUUGGCACGGUCAAAAAUAUGAUCACCAGUUUUGAAAGGAAAUAAAUCUCGUGCCAGUUUCCAACCAAUCAAAAAGAAUUCUCCCAAACUGUAUGGUGCGAGUCCAGAUCAAAAAGAAAAAUGCUCCCAAAACUUCUCUCCGACUACCUCCUCCCAGGUCUCCGACGAGCUCACUCCAUAGAUCUCCGACGCAGCCUCCUCCGACUAACGAUGCCGCUGUGCCUGGCUCCGCCGUCCGAGCGACGCCGCCGUCAUCCGGCCAGCCACCGCUGGCCUCCGAUCCACACGCCCAGCCAAAUCAAACACCUCCGUCUCUUCAAUAGCGGGAUUGGACAUCAAUCCUCCGCGUCCAAGUCCGGUGGAUUGCCGCCGCUGUCCUCAACGGCGGGAUCGGGCCCCCAGCCUCAACAGCGGGGUCGUAGUCAGCGGCCACCGCGAUUCUCGCCUGCGGGAUCGGACGCCACUGCCGCAAGGACCCGAGAAGGAAGGAGUGUGACACUUCGAGUAUAGAUGGCAUACAAGUCCGAGAAGGAAGGAGAGACUAUCUAGCUUGGAUGUCGUAGAAAGGAGCUGAACUGGGGAACUUCUUUGUUCGCCAGUGUUGGUGUACACAAGUCCGAAAUCUGUAUCCUCGUUGUAAUUAUGCAUUAUUCAAACAGUGAGUCGGUGAUAUAGCUGUCAGAUUUUGGAGGCAUCAUGUAAAGCUGGUAAACUUUUGGUGUUGAUGAAUUGAUACUUUGGAAAUUUUCUUUUGUCGAUGGUAAAGCUGCUAUAUUGAAACUUUGUUAUCACUUAACAUCACAA
Long non-coding RNA from Lolium rigidum, 882 nucleotides. RefSeq lists it as uncharacterized. The transcript is spliced from 2 exons. The record is from RefSeq and is a predicted model, not a curated record. Lineage: Eukaryota; Viridiplantae; Streptophyta; Magnoliopsida; Poales; Poaceae.